AGUGGGGAAUAUUGGACAAUGGGCGAAAGCCUGAUCCAGCCAUGCCGCGUGAGUGAUGAAGGCCCUAGGGUUGUAAAGCUCUUUCAACGGUGAAGAUAAUGACGGUAACCGUAGAAGAAGCCCCGGCUAACUUCGUGCCAGCAGCCGCGGUAAUACGAAGGGGGCUAGCGUUGUUCGGAAUUACUGGGCGUAAAGCGCACGUAGGCGGAUACUUAAGUCAGGGGUGAAAUCCCGGGGCUCAACCCCGGAACUGCCUUUGAUACUGGGUAGUCUCGAGUCCGAGAGAGGUGAGUGGAAUUCCGAGUGUAGAGGUGAAAUUCGUAGAUAUUCGGAGGAACACCAGUGGCGAAGGCGGCUCACUGGCUCGGUACUGACGCUGAGGUGCGAAAGCGUGGGGAGCAAA
This 403-nucleotide ribosomal RNA is filed under the name uncultured Mesorhizobium sp. RNAcentral describes it as "bacterial SSU rRNA". It matches the Rfam family "Bacterial small subunit ribosomal RNA", at positions 353 to 772 of the family's 1533-position model. Lineage: Bacteria; Pseudomonadati; Pseudomonadota; Alphaproteobacteria; Hyphomicrobiales; Phyllobacteriaceae. The record is from RNAcentral.